RNAcentral lists this ribosomal RNA (253 nucleotides) under uncultured bacterium. Its description in RNAcentral is "partial 16S ribosomal RNA". It matches the Rfam family "Bacterial small subunit ribosomal RNA", at positions 524 to 776 of the family's 1533-position model. The record is from RNAcentral.
CACGUAGGUCGCGAGCGUUAUCCGGAAUUAUUGGGCGUAAAGAGUUCGUAGGUGGCUAGGCGAGUCUUGUGUGAAAGCCAACAGCUUAACUGUUGAACUGCAUAAGAUACUAUCUAGCUAGAAUUUAGGAGAGGAAACUGGAAUUCCAUGUGUAGCGGUGGAAUGCGUAGAUAUAUGGAGGAACACCGAUAGCGAAGGCAGGUUUCUGGACUAACAUUGACACUAAGGAACGAAAGCGUGGGUAGCAAACAGG